CUAGUUGAUGAAUAAAUAAGUUUAUGCGGUCAGUAGAACCGAAAUUUUCUCGAUUUGCUUUGGUUCGUUCUGUUCAAAGUUGUGAUUUGAUUCAACACUAUCUCUAU
Molecule: small RNA, 107 nt
Filed under: Arabidopsis thaliana (thale cress)
Lineage: Eukaryota; Viridiplantae; Streptophyta; Magnoliopsida; Brassicales; Brassicaceae
Description: ATSL299540
Source: RNAcentral